Molecule: transfer RNA, 78 nt
Filed under: Gammaproteobacteria bacterium
Lineage: Bacteria; Pseudomonadati; Pseudomonadota; Gammaproteobacteria
Also listed under: 1 other name
Description: tRNA-Arg
Rfam family: tRNA
About the family: Transfer RNA (tRNA) molecules are approximately 80 nucleotides in length. Their secondary structure includes four short double-helical elements and three loops (D, anti-codon, and T loops).
Source: RNAcentral
GCGCCCGUAGCUCAGUUGGAUUAGAGUACCAGGCUUCGAACCUGGGUGUCGGGGGUUCGAGUCCCUCCGGGCGUGCCA